GACGAACGCUGGCGGCGUGCUUAACACAUGCAAGUCGAACGAUGAAGCUGGAGCUUGCUCCGGUGGAUUAGUGGCGAACGGGUGAGUAACACGUGAGCAAUCUGCCCUUGACUCUGGGAUAACUGCGGGAAACUGUAGCUAAUACCGGAUACGAGACCUGAAGGCAUCUUCGGGUCUGGAAAGAAUUUCGGUCAAGGAUGAGCUCGCGGCCUAUCAGCUUGUUGGUGAGGUAAUGGCUCACCAAGGCGACGACGGGUAGCCGGCCUGAGAGGGGGACAGGCCAAACUGGGACUGAGACACGGCCCAGACUCCUACGGGAGGCAGCAGUGGGGAAUAUUGCACAAUGGGCGAAAGCCUGAUGCAGCAACGCCGCGUGAGGGAUGAAGGCCUUCGGGUUGUAGACCUCUUUUAGCAGGGAAGAAGCGAAAGUGACGGUACCUGCAGAAAAAGCACCGGCUAACUACGUGCCAGCAGCCGCCGUAA
RNAcentral lists this ribosomal RNA (483 nucleotides) under uncultured bacterium. RNAcentral describes it as "partial 16S ribosomal RNA". It matches the Rfam family "Bacterial small subunit ribosomal RNA", at positions 28 to 523 of the family's 1533-position model. The record is from RNAcentral.